CGGAGGGUGCAAGCGUUAUCCGGAAUCAUUGGGGUUUAAAGGGUCCGGCAGGCGGACUAAUAAGUACAGUGGUGGAAAGCCCAUCGCUUAACGAUGGAACUGCCAUUGAUACUGUUAGUCUUGAAUUCGGUCGAAGUGGGCGGAAUGUGUCAUGUAGCGGUGAAAUGCAUAGAUAUGACACAGAACACCGAUAGCGAAGGCAGCUCACUAGACCUGGAUUGACGCUCAGGGGACGAAAGCGUGGGGAGCGAACAGGAUU
RNAcentral lists this ribosomal RNA (259 nucleotides) under uncultured bacterium. Its description in RNAcentral is "partial 16S ribosomal RNA". It matches the Rfam family "Bacterial small subunit ribosomal RNA", at positions 526 to 779 of the family's 1533-position model. The record is from RNAcentral.